GUUUGUUUGAUAUGUAGAAUGUUUUGAUCUACCAGUAGUUCCUAUAUAUAUAUCUGGAAUUUUGUUGGAUAUUUAGACCAAGUCGUUGCUUUGGUAACAAUGCUAUUUGGUUUUUAAGCUUCCCUUUUCUCGUGUCUUGAAGGAAAGAAAAGAGGGCACUUAUAGCCUCCAAACACUUGAAAUCUCCUUUUAACACAUUGCAUUUGCACUACGGUUGUCCUCUCUCGAACACCAAUUAAAAAGGUAUUAUCUAUGGAAGUAAAACAUUGGGAAUCUUUAAAAACAGAAGCACCCAUCUGAACAGCCGACUCUUUUGUUGCUGCUAGUUCUGUUAGCUGUUUCAAGUCAUCAUUCACCUGAAAUUCUUACCUACUGCACUACUUGCAAGUAAAGUUCUAUUCCAAUUUACUUUAUUAUGGUGGCCAUCAUCCAAAUUGUGGACAAAAGCUAAGAAAGUGGAAGAAUAUCCAAGCAAAUGGAAGUGUCCUACUCCAUUUCUUAAAGAUUGUCUGUUAAUAGUAUGUUGAGCAGACCAAUUCAACAAUGUAGCCUUUCUUAAGGCAUGCUGAUGCUGUUAUCUAUCAUGGACGCAUGUUCAAAACAUAAUGUAGUUCAACUUUGUGAAUUCACAUAUAAACUUUAAUCUACUCACUGCCCAAUAUCUUUCCAAAACUUAUUUUUUGAUGCCCAAUAGGCAUGAUCAGUUUCCUUUUAUUAUGUUAACUUAAGUGUUGCAAUAUUUUUUCAAUUGGAGAUAAAUGACUAGUUCUUAAUAAUGAUCUCUCUCUCUCUCUCUCU
This 798-nucleotide unclassified non-coding RNA is filed under the name Hevea brasiliensis (rubber tree). The record is from RNAcentral. Lineage: Eukaryota; Viridiplantae; Streptophyta; Magnoliopsida; Malpighiales; Euphorbiaceae.